RNAcentral lists this ribosomal RNA (497 nucleotides) under uncultured bacterium. RNAcentral's name for it is "partial 16S ribosomal RNA". It matches the Rfam family "Bacterial small subunit ribosomal RNA", at positions 28 to 507 of the family's 1533-position model. The record is from RNAcentral.
GAUGAACGCUGGCGGCGUGCCUAAUACAUGCAAGUCGAGCGAACGGACGAGAAGCUUGCUUUUCUGAUGUUAGCGGCGGACGGGUGAGUAACACGUGGAUAACCUACCUAUAAGACUGGGAUAACUUCGGGAAACCGGAGCUAAUACCGGAGAAUAUUUUGAACCGCAUGGUUCAAAAGUGAAAGACGGUCUUGCUGUCACUUAUAGAUGGAUCCGCGCUGCAUUAGCUAGUUGGUAAGGUAACGGCUUACCAAGGCAACGAUGCAUAGCCGACCUGAGAGGGUGAUCGGCCACACUGGAACUGAGACGCGGUCCAGACUCCUACGGGACGCAGCAGUAGGGAAUCUUCCGCAAUGGGCGAGAGCCUGACGGAGCAACGCCGCGUGAGUGAUGAAGGUCUUCGGAUCGUAAAACUCUGUUAUUAGGGAAGAACAUAUGUGUAAGUAACUGUGCACAUCUUGACGGUACCUAAUCAAAAAGCCACGGCUAACUACGUG